This is a long non-coding RNA of Phyllopteryx taeniolatus (common seadragon), 3277 nucleotides long. RefSeq lists it as uncharacterized. Lineage: Eukaryota; Metazoa; Chordata; Actinopteri; Syngnathiformes; Syngnathidae. The transcript has 4 exons. The record is from RefSeq and is a predicted model, not a curated record.
UUUUUUUUUGACUCUUAAGCAUGAAUCUGAACAAUACGGUGACGCAAAGAUUUCAAGAAAUAACAAGGGUGCCUGCACAUUGUGGUGCAUACACAAUGCUGUACAAUCACAACAAGGUAAUUGGGAAAAGCCUUUCACAGUCAGGAUGUCGGUGUUUGGAUGAUUGUGACAUCAUGGCCAAUCACGAAUACGUGGACCCGUCGAGUACGAGAGAAAUGCUGCAGUGUGGGCUUCUGGGAGGAGGAAAAAAAAAACAGCUGGCGAUGCUGCAAUUAUGCAGUCUGUGUUUAGGUUUCUGACGCUUAAUGAUUGCACCAGCACAGAAAUCCUUCCCUGGCUGCUGGAACUGCGUGUUUAACAGGACUGCGAUGAGUAAUUGACCAUUUGUAACAACGUUGAACGUGGACGGUACUUGGGCGCUGAUUGUCUAUUAUGCAUUGCUGGGCAAGCAUGGGAAAACACACUCAUUAACCAAUGGUUAAAUUGCAUCGCCAUUACGUGCCCACUACCCCCACCCGAGUGGCAGGACCGUGACGUUGUCAUGCUUACGUAUGAAGACAGCACUCAUGCACGUGUGUGUAUCAUACAUUGUGUUGGAAAUGCUAUGUCUAAAUCAUAUUGAAACCCAAUUUUGCAGCUUCGCUUGAUUCCACAUUUUGCAUUGUAGUUAGUAUAUUUCACUCCUAUGUACGAUAAGAACACACACAAACAUGCAGCUCCAUUUGCGAAGGCCAAAUCUGAAUCUCAAUUAAAAUCUCAAUUAAAUUGAAGAGAAAAAGAAGCAUUAUUUGUCCUCAGGGAGCAAUUUGAGAAUCCACCGGAAAUUAAAGUAAUGGCUUUUUAAUUUAUGUAUUGAUGGGUUUCCUGGCAUUGACAGCAGGAAUUCUGAGUUUACAUCCUUACCCACUAUUUCGUUUUAAGCAGAAGAGAUUUUCUUUUUUAACACAGAACACAGCAAAGGCAGGCUACUGUGCUUUCACACAGACACAGCAUCUCAGAAUCACUUAAUCAGUUGAAAGACUGCAUCAACCAGCAUCUGUUGUGGCGUAAAAAGUCAUUUUUGGAUAGUGUUUUCAACAAAUGGCUUGUGUGAAACAUCACUUUCCCUCCACUUCAAGAUUUAGCAUUUACACAAGUAUUGUCCUAGCGCUGAUCCUACAUCCAAGGCGGAAUACUGCCAGGGUGACUUGGUCACCCCCACUCCGUUUUAGGGUCGUUUUAUACAGAACAAAAACCUGGGUAAAUCCUGGCUUUUAACAUGCUGUGGUAAAGGUGCUACUGUUUUAUCAUUGUUUUGUGAUACAGUAGUUCAGCUAUGCUGCAAUAGGUGUUGAAGGUAUAUGGGGCAUUGUGUGGCAGCCUGCUGACACACUACAAUGUCAUAGCCUUUCUGGUUUGUGCCCCCACCUUAUCGCCUCCAUCUCUGGUGCCACCUCAAAUCACCCGAGUGCCUGCGGUAAAGCCCUGUCACAGCGCCAACGAAAACAGGGGUGGGGGUGGAGGACAGUGGGGGAUGGAUUAAUGCCAGCAUGGUUGCCGGGCACACAUCCAGCCCGCAUCAUUCAGACACCCACAACUGCAGUACGACAUUGCCAUCUACCAUAUAUACACUAUCCUGCCCUGUUUUCUGCUCAUUUCCCCUCUAGGUAGCCAAGCCAAGCCUCCUCAGUGCCUCCGGCUCACAUAAAUCAACUAAUCCUCCUGCAUUAUUAACAGUGUCGCGCUGGAGAGAAAGAAGGGGUUAGAGAGACAUCGGGAGUGACAGCAAAGCCUUUUUGUGCACAGCAAUGGAGAAAGGUGUCUCUGCAAGGGAGACAAGAGAGAAAACAUAUAAAAGGAGUGUCUGGAUGUCAAGCAAGGAGACAUUCGUGGAAGAGCAGUACUUGAUAAAAAACCUUGCAGACCUUGCAAUAAUCCAAUCUGUAUUGUGACACUAUCUCCACCAUGUUCCGGUCUUCUCGAAUCCUCAUCGUGUCACUUAAGAGUCCUCUAAGAUCUGCUUCAUUCUGUGACAACAUGAAGCGUAAUGAAUCUGAGCUGUUGUUGAGACAGUGCAUCUUGUAAAAGUGGUCUGGUGCGCUGAGGUGAGUUUGGGAGCCAACCGAGGCAGUAACGAUCAGGGGGAAUGGAGGUCACCACAAUAACUUUCCACAUCUGCUUUCCACAUCUGUUUGGUUAGCAGCUUAUCAGGAGACUGCCGACACCGAGCCAGCUCCGUGUCGAUGUUCUAUUUUGAGCUCCACUUCUUGAGUGGUGCCAGCGGUGCACUUGUAUAGGCACUCAUUUGGUGCUCAUCCCUCAGAGCGAUGGAGAUUAAGGAAUUAAGGGAGACAGGAACAUUGGUAUGUGGUGUACACACCUGCCUGUCUGAGCAAUCCUAAAUCAAAUGUGCAAAACUGGAUGUAUAGGGACAACGAAGGCCAGUUUGUUCCCAACAGCAGCAUCGCACAUAUUCAUAAGGCACUGGACCGGAGGCCCCCAUGGACAGCUCGGACUGAGCAGCAGGCAGGGAGGAUAAGGGCCCCGUUGUCAUGGGAACAAAAGAGAACCAGAGCUUGAGGCAAGGAGACUGAAUGCUGGCCAUUAAAGCGAUAGAGGGCUGAUGCAUUUGGUCAGUGUGCUGCCUACCUUAAACCCCACCAAAGAGAAACUGUUGCAGCUCAUAGCCCGCACGCUUUUCUCCUAAAGAUAAUCCAGUUUCAAUCGGAGGGCUUCAGGGACAAAGGUGUCAUAAUCAUUCUCCCGUUCGGGUCACUAAUCCGCUCUGAUUAGCAUUUUCGCCCAUUAAUGCAACCCUGUGAGGUGCGAUUUGUUUUUUAUUGUUUUUUUGUCUUAAGGAAUUAUACAAUAAUGGAUAUAGAAGGAUUCGUGUGGGCCAAGAAGUGAUGGUUAAAAUGGCUAAAAAAAAAACAGCAAGAAGCACCCACCCACAAUGUGUUCUUUUGAAUGUUGGGAAUGGUCAAAAUCUGUACAUACUGUAACGCCGCUAUAUAAAAAUGAGACUAUUAUUAUUUGUUUCCAUAUUGUGCCAAAUCAUUUUCUCAUCUGCAAGGUGGCUGUCUGAAGGAACACAAUGACAUUUUAGACACACGACCAGAAAUGUGAUGCGGACAAGAGAUGAUCGGAAUAUUGCAGGUGUUGGUUGACUACAUCAGUGAUCAGCAAGCAACUCAGGAAAAUGUUACAAGUGUGCAAGUUAUUCCCGGGGGGAUCCAACGCACUCUGCAAACAAGAUACUCAGUGGGGCCAACGUCGCCAGCAUAUAAGACAAUGGAUG